GUCAGGAGACUGAUCCUGCUGCUUAAAACAACAGUUGGUAGCAAAUUAAACGCCACUUGCAAGAGGAAAGUAGUCAUUCGUGUUUUGUUUUGGGAGACGUCAACAAACAACCGUUGAUCAGCUGACAGAAGAACUCUUUCCGGAUAUGUCCCCUCCUCCCUUGUGGAGGGGGUCUGGUCCGAUGACCAUGGAUGAAGUACUGGCUGUCCAGAGUCGAGACCCAGGAUGGACCGCUCGUCGGGACCCAGGAUGGACCGCUCGUCGGGACCCAGGAUGGACCGCUCGCCUGUAUCGGUUGGGGACAUCUCUACGCUGCUGAUCCGCUUGAGAUGGUUUCCUGUGGACGGGACUCUCGCUGCUGUCUUGGAGCCACUAUGGAUUGAACUUUCACAGUAUCAUGUUAGACCCGCUCGACAUCCAUUGCUUUCGGUCCCCUAGAGGGGGGGGGGAUGCCCACAUCUGAGGUCCUCUCCAAGGUUUCUCAUAGUCAGCAUUGUCACUGGCGUCCCACUGGACGUGAAUUCUCCCUGCCCACUGGGUGUGAGUUUUCCUUGCCCUUUUGUGGGUUCUUCCGAGGAUGUUGUAGUCGUAAUGAUUUGUGCAGUCCUUUGAGACAUUUGUGAUUUGGGGCUAUAUAAAUAAAGAUUGAUUGAUCAUUGAUUGAUUGAGAUAAUUUUGCUUAGUUCAAGUAAAAUACCCCUCAUUUUAGUAUUUUGUUUACCCCUGUUUAUGAACACUGACAUUUUGCAGUGUGGUUCAGCUCGCUAUGGUGCACUUUGAUCCGUACUGCAUAAAACUUUGAUCCGGAGUUGUUGUGUUAUAUUUAGCGGCACGAGAGAUGAAAUUGUGUACUGAAGAGAAUUAAGCUGAACUAUCUAUCUAAGAACGUACUGUAAAAAAACAUGUUCCAGACCAAAGGGCUUUCCAGCCUCUUUCUGCUACGAAUGACUAUCUUGCUCCUCCUCCAAGAAACUAUACGACUACAAUGCAUCUCCAGUAUAAUCCCUACAUUAGCUGAGGAUGGUAUCUGUCCGCGCGCUGGCGAAGGUAGCCGAGAAACAAAGUGGAUAACGGUAUCUUUUCAAGCCAUAUAGCGCGACAGUCGCCCUUUGUAUUUUUUUUUUUUUAUCGGCGUUGGUUCUGGCGCAUUUGGAAGUUAAGCAAAUUGGUUCUGCUUUCAUGGAAAUGCAGUGCCGCUAUGGUUUAUGUUCAACACAAGGAUAAAACAUGAUUGUCCUGCCUAGAAUAUCUGGCUUUGGUUAGAUUACCCCUGGUUUUCUUUUUCUGGGCUAUGGUGUGCUUCAGGCCACAAAAAUGCUUUGCCUCCAAGUGAGAGUGGAACAGAUAUUGUCCCGGCAUUAGAAGUGUAACAAACAGUUCAGGGUGUCCCUCCAGUGUUGCCGUAAGGCUGUGACGUAAGAGGUCUAUAUAAAGGCGGGUUGUUGAAGAAGGUGAUAGAUGGGUAUGGAGAUAGGUGUAAAGAAGGGAACAAUAAAGUGGUGGAGACCGGA
Nerophis ophidion (straightnose pipefish) is the source of this 1511-nucleotide long non-coding RNA. RefSeq lists it as uncharacterized. The transcript is spliced from 2 exons. The record is from RefSeq and is a predicted model, not a curated record. Lineage: Eukaryota; Metazoa; Chordata; Actinopteri; Syngnathiformes; Syngnathidae.